This 515-nucleotide ribosomal RNA is filed under the name uncultured Microcoleus sp. Its description in RNAcentral is "bacterial SSU rRNA". It matches the Rfam family "Bacterial small subunit ribosomal RNA", at positions 875 to 1391 of the family's 1533-position model. The record is from RNAcentral. Lineage: Bacteria; Bacillati; Cyanobacteriota; Cyanophyceae; Oscillatoriales; Microcoleaceae.
CGGGGAGUACGACGCAAGGUUGAAACUCAAAGGAAUUGACGGGGCCGCGACAAGCGGUGGAGCGAUGUGGUUUAAUUCGUAAGCAACGCGAAGAACCGUUACCAGGUCUUGACAUCCCGAUGCUAUUUCUAGAGAUAGAAAGUUACUUCGGUACAUCGGUGACAGGUGGUGCAUGGUUGUCGUCAGCUCGUGUCGUGAGAUGUUGGGUUAAGUCCCGCAACGAGCGCAACCCUCGUGUUUAGUUGCCAUCAUUAAGUUGGGCACUCUAAACAGACUGCCGGUGACAAACCGGAGGAAGGUGGGGAUGACGUCAAGUCAGCAUGCCCCAUGUCCUGGGCUACACACGUACUACAAUGGUAGGGACAGAGGGCAGCCAACCCGCGAGGGCGAGCUAAUCCCGUAAACCCUGCCUCAGUUCAGAUUGCAGGCUGCAACUCGCCUGCAUGAAGGCGGAAUCGCUAGUAAUCGCAGGUCAGCAUACUGCGGUGAAUCCGUUCCCGGGCCUUGUACACACC